This is a non-coding RNA of Pelobates cultripes (western spadefoot toad), 82 nucleotides long. The record is from the annotation of a GenBank genome assembly. Lineage: Eukaryota; Metazoa; Chordata; Amphibia; Anura; Pelobatidae.
GGUACACAAUCAUAGACACACAGUGACACACAUAUUGUCUGUGACUAUGUGUGUCACUGUGUGUCUAUGAUUGUGUACCUAC